UACGGAGGAUCCAAGCGUUAUCCGGAAUCAUUGGGUUUAAAGGGUCCGUAGGUGGAUAAUUAAGUCAGGGGUGAAAGUCUGCAGCUCAACUGUAGAAUUGCCUUUGAUACUGGUUAUCUUGAAUUAUUAUGAAGUAGUUAGAAUAUGUAGUGUAGCGGUGAAAUGCAUAGAUAUUACAUAGAAUACCAAUUGCGAAGGCAGAUUACUAAUAAUCAAUUGACACUGAUGGACGAAAGCGUGGGUAGCGAACAGG
This 253-nucleotide ribosomal RNA is filed under the name uncultured bacterium. Its description in RNAcentral is "partial 16S ribosomal RNA". It matches the Rfam family "Bacterial small subunit ribosomal RNA", at positions 524 to 776 of the family's 1533-position model. The record is from RNAcentral.